GGGGGCGUCAGGCUUCGACAGAGCUGGAUCGCUUUAAGGUUGCGAGCCGAGGUGCCGUUGGCCUCGUAAACAAACGGCAAAAAAACAACUGCCGAAGAUAACAACUUCGCUUACGCUGCCUAAUUGACGCAGCUCGUCGGCUAGUAGGGUUCCCUUCCCGCCUAGUUAGACGUCGCAAAUAAGGGAUCGCCUGGAAGGGUUCUGUCCGUACCCCAAAGGCUAGAUCAACCGGACUGGGUGCGAAGCCAGCCUAACCUUCGGGAUUGGCCCGCGCCGAGACACAAAAAGAAGGGGACGCUCGUGGACGCUUUAGGGACGACAGUUUUGGAACCGGGUUCAAUUCCCGGCGCCUCCACCA
RNAcentral lists this transfer-messenger RNA (358 nucleotides) under Fimbriimonadaceae. RNAcentral's name for it is "UphvI-Ar2 sp016789105 Standard tmRNA". It matches the Rfam family "transfer-messenger RNA". From Rfam's summary of the family: Bacterial tmRNA, also known as 10Sa RNA or SsrA, is named for its dual tRNA and mRNA-like properties. Its role is to liberate the mRNA from a stalled ribosome. The record is from RNAcentral. RNAcentral also lists the same sequence under 2 other names. Lineage: Bacteria; Bacillati; Armatimonadota; Fimbriimonadia; Fimbriimonadales.